UACAGAGGAUGCAAGCGUUAUCCGGAAUGAUUGGGCGUAAAGCGUUUGUAGGUGGCUUUUUAAGUCCGCCGUCAAAUCCCAGGGCUCAACUCUGGACAGGCGGUGGAAACUACCAAGCUGGAGUACGGUAGGGGCAGAGGGAAUUUCCGGUGGAGCGGUGAAAUGCGUAGAGAUCGGGAAGAACACCAACGGCGAAAGCGCUCUGCUGGGCCGACACUGACACUGAGAGACGAAAGCUAGGGGAGCGAAUGGG
Molecule: ribosomal RNA, 253 nt
Filed under: uncultured bacterium
Lineage: Bacteria
Description: partial 16S ribosomal RNA
Rfam family: Bacterial small subunit ribosomal RNA
Source: RNAcentral